RNAcentral lists this ribosomal RNA (245 nucleotides) under uncultured bacterium. RNAcentral's name for it is "partial 16S ribosomal RNA". It matches the Rfam family "Bacterial small subunit ribosomal RNA", at positions 524 to 768 of the family's 1533-position model. The record is from RNAcentral.
UACGUAGGAGGCAAGCGUUGUCCGGAGUUACUGGGCGUAAAGCGCACGCAGGCGGUCACCUCAGUCUGUAGUGACAGGGCGCAGCUCAACUGCGUCAGGAUUAUGGAAACUGGGUGACUUGAGGGCUUCAGAGGGAUGGGGAAUUCCGGGUGGAGUGGUGAAAUGCGUAGAGAUCCGGAGGAACACCAAAGGCGUAGGCACCAUCCUGGGGAGUCACUGACGCUCGGGUGCGAAAGCCAGGGGAG